RNAcentral lists this ribosomal RNA (631 nucleotides) under uncultured Desulfobulbus sp. Its description in RNAcentral is "bacterial SSU rRNA". It matches the Rfam family "Bacterial small subunit ribosomal RNA", at positions 75 to 686 of the family's 1533-position model. The record is from RNAcentral. Lineage: Bacteria; Pseudomonadati; Thermodesulfobacteriota; Desulfobulbia; Desulfobulbales; Desulfobulbaceae.
AGACUUCGGUCCCAAGUAGAGUGGCGCACGGGUGAGUAACGCGUAGAUAACCUGUCUUCAUGUCUGGAAUAAUACGCCGAAAGGGGUACUAAUACCGGAUAUUCUUGUUUUUCAUAAGGUUGACAAGAAAAGGUGGCCUCCGCAUAUGCUACUGCAUGAAGAGGGGUCUGCGUACCAUUAGCUAGUAGGUGGGGUAAGGGCCUACCUAGGCAACGAUGGUUAGCGGGUCUGAGAGGAUGAUCCGCCACACUGGCACUGGAACACGGGCCAGACUCCUACGGGAGGCAGCAGUGAGGAAUAUUGCGCAAUGGGGGCAACCCUGACGCAGCGACACCGCGUGAGUGAGGAAGGCCUUCGGGUCGUAAAGCUCUGUCAAGAGGAAAGAAGUGCAUAGCGGUUAAUACCCGUUGUGUUUGACGGUACCUCUAAAGGAAGCACCGGCUAACUCCGUGCCAGCAGCCGCGGUAAUACGGAGGGUGCAAGCGUUGUUCGGAAUCACUGGGCGUAAAGGGCGCGUAGGCGGUUUGAUAAGUCAGAUGUGAAAGCCCAUGGCCUAACUGUGGAAGUGCAUUUGAAACUGUCAGACUUGAGUACCAGAGGGGAAAGUGGAAUUCCCGGUGUAGAGGUGAAA